RNAcentral lists this ribosomal RNA (492 nucleotides) under uncultured bacterium. RNAcentral's name for it is "partial 16S ribosomal RNA". It matches the Rfam family "Bacterial small subunit ribosomal RNA", at positions 29 to 507 of the family's 1533-position model. The record is from RNAcentral.
AGUGAACGCUGGCGGUAGGCCUAACACAUGCAAGCCGAACGGCAGCACAGUAAGAGCUUGCUCUUACGGGUGGCGAGUGGCGGACGGGUGAGGAAUACAUCGGAAUCUACUUUUUCGUGGGGGAUAACGUAGGGAAACUUACGCUAAUACCGCAUACGACCUACGGGUGAAAGCAGGGGAUCUUCGGACCUUGCGCGAUUGAAUGAGCCGAUGUCGGACUAGCUAGUUGGCGGGGUAGAGGCCCACCAAGGCGACGAUCCGUAGCUGGUCUGAGAGGAUGAUCAGCCACACUGGAACUGAGACACGGUCCAGACUCCUACGGGAGGCAGCAGUGGGGAAUAUUGGACAAUGGGCGCAAGCCUGAUCCAGCCAUACCGCGUGGGUGAAGAAGGCCUUCGGGUUGUAAAGCCCUUUUGUUGGGAAAGAAAAGCAGCAGGUUAAUACCCCGCUGUUCUGACGGUACCCAAAGAAUAAGCACCGGCUAACUUCGUG